RNAcentral lists this ribosomal RNA (468 nucleotides) under uncultured bacterium. RNAcentral's name for it is "partial 16S ribosomal RNA". It matches the Rfam family "Bacterial small subunit ribosomal RNA", at positions 28 to 507 of the family's 1533-position model. The record is from RNAcentral.
GACGAACGCUGGCGGCGUGCUUAACACAUGCAAGUCGAACGGAAAGGCCCUGCUUUUGUGGGGUGCUCGAGUGGCGAACGGGUGAGUAACACGUGAGUAACCUGCCCUUGACUUUGGGAUAACUUCAGGAAACUGGGGCUAAUACCGGAUAGGAGCUCCUGCUGCAUGGUGGGGGUUGGAAAGUUUCGGCGGUUGGGGAUGGACUCGCGGCUUAUCAGCUUGUUGGUGGGGUAGUGGCUUACCAAGGCUUUGACGGGUAGCCGGCCUGAGAGGGUGACCGGCCCAGUUGGGCCGGGGAUACGGCACAGCCUCCUACGGGAGGCAGCGGUGGGGAAUAGUGCACAAUGGGCGGAACGCUGAUGCAGCAACGCCGCGUGCGGGAUGACGGCCUUCGGGUUGUAAACCGCUGUCGCCUGUGACGAAGCGUGAGUGACGGUAAUGGGUAAAGAAGCACCGGCUAACUACGUG